GACAGUGGGACCAGCUGCAGUGAGCCGUGCCCCGCCGCCGCCCCCCCCCCCCGCCCCGGCUGAAGGAUGCUCGAAGAACCCGUCCCGGCCGCCCGAGAGCCCGAGCAGCUCGGAGCAGUCAAACUGGAGGAAGAGGAGGCCGUCGGUCAGGAGGACCUCAGGCACACUGAGGCCAGGCCCCGGCCCGAGGUGGCUCACCAGCUCUUCAGAUGCUUCCAGUAUCAGGAGGACAUGGGGCCAAGGGCGUCCCUGAGCCGGCUCCGGGAGCUGUGCUGCCGCUGGCUGCGGCCGGCUCUGCACACCAAGGAGCAGAUCCUGGAGCUGCUGGUGCUGGAGCAGUUCCUGAGCGUGCUGCCCCCGCACCUGCUGGCCCGGCUCCAGGGCCAGCAGCUCAGGGACGGCGAGGAGGUUGUGCUGCUGCUGGAGGGUGUCCAGAGGGAGUCCAGCGCCGUGGGGCCACUGGUAAGGGGGAGGGGGGGCGGCCGGGCGGCAAGACAGGGACUCGGGCGCCCCGUGAAGGAAUCACCCGACACCCCAUUUUCCUCCCUCUGACAAUUGCUUCUUAACCUCCUAAGUCCCGUGACCCUCCCCUUUCCGCGGCCCCCUUUCCCUUGGGAGUGAGAAGGACGCGCAUCGUCCCUCUGCCCUGUUCGCCACCUGACACAGAUGCAUUUUGCACAGGAUUUUAGUUUUAAUGCUGGCAAGAAUUGUCCCCGUGCAGACGUCACUUCGGAGGACCAGGGGGGCUCUUCCCAGGUCUCCAGCCACAGCCCCAAAAAGGAAGUGCCCUCAGAAGGACCCCCGGCCCCGGAGCCAGCCGUGGAGCCCCCAGCAUCCCAGCCAGGGCCCUCCAAGCCCGCUGAGCUGGGGACCUGGAGACAUCCCCCAAGUUCAAAGCAGCCACUGAGCCCAGGCCCCAAGAGGACAUUCCAAGCCCUGCAAGAGUGUGGUGAGCAGCUGGUGCCCGGGCAGGUGGGAGCCAGGGGCCUGGUACGUGAGGACGGGGUGAGACGAAGGCACCCCCCCCUUUGACAGGGAUGGGAGAGCGCCGAGAUGUCUCUCCCAGGGCCCUGACCACGGGUGCGCCCCCCCGUACGGCGGGGGGAGGGUAAGCCGGCCCCCUAACGGCUCUCUCUUUCUCCCCCCGAUGCUGCCAGCCCCCCAGGGCCCUGUCCUGUGGCUGGAGGAAAACUCCCGAGAUCAGGAGCUUGCAGCUGUGCUGGUGAGCUGGCCCGGCCCCUCCCUCCAGACUGUCCUCGGCCCGGACGCUCUCUGCCCCCGCUGUUGUGGCAAAUCCGUGUCUUCCUUAAUUUGAACCCUCAGAGUCUUCCAUCCCCCUCAGCUCACAGCCCCGUUCCUCUCUCACCAAGGGUCUGGCUCAUCCUUUUGUUACAGGAGUCCCUGACCUUCGAGGAUGUCCCAGCAAAGAAGGCGUGGCCUGUUCACCCUCUGGGUAAGCGGCCCUUCCUGCUGGGGACCACUGAAGGCUCUCUCCUUGUGUUUCCAGAGUGGUCUCUAAAGCUCCAGACCCUACCUGACUUUUUAGCCUCUUUGGCUAAAAAUGGCCUAUGUUAACAUGAAUUCCUUCCUUCCUUCCUUUCUUCCUUCCUCCAUUCGUUUACUUAUUUUAUACUUUUAAAAAAAUGUUCGUUUACUUCUGAGAGAGAGAGAAAAAGCAGGAGCGGGGGAGGAGCAGAGAGAGGGGGACAGAGGAUCCGGACGUGGGGCUGAAACUCACAAAUAUGAGAUCAUGACCCGAGCUGAAGUCCGACGCUCAACCCACUGAGCCACCCAGGUGCCCCUUACUUACUUAUUUUAUUUAAAAAAAAUGUUUUUUAAUUUUUUAACACUUACAUAUUUUUAUUUUAAUUUUUUUUUAUCGUUUAUUUAUUUUUGAGACAGAGAGAGAGACAGAGCAUGAACGGGGGAGGGGCAGAGAGAGAGGGAGACACAGAAUCGGAAGCAGGCUCCAGGCUCUGAGCCGUCAGCCCAGAGCCCGACGCGGGGCUCGAACUCACGGACCGCGAGAUCGUGAGAUCGUGACCUGAGCUGAAGUCGGACUCUCAACCGACUGAGCCACCCAGGCGCCCCACUUAUUUAUUUUUGAGACAGAGAGAGAGCAUGAACAGGGGAGGGUCAGAGAAAGAGGGAGACACAGAAUCUGAAACAGGCUCCAGGCUCUGAGCUGUCAGCACAGAGCCCGAUGUGGGGCUUGAACCCACGGACCACGAGAUCAUGACCUGAGCUGAAGUCGGACGCUCAACCGACUGAGCCACCCAGGCGCCCCUAAAAAUUUUUUUUAAUGUUUAUUUAUUUUUGAGAGAAAGAGAGCGUGAAUGCAGGAAGGGGCAGGAAGAGAGGGAGACACGGAAUCCGAAGCAGGCUCCUGGCUCUGAGCUGGCAGCACAGAGCCGGACCCAGGGCUCAAACCCACGAAUCGUGAGAUCUUGCCCUGAGCCGAAGUCAGUCGCUUAACUGACUGAGCCACCCAGGCGCCCCUCUUUUACUUAUUUUAGAGGCUUACUGUGUUUGAUGUAAUUAUCAACCCCGUUAACUUUGAGCUUUUAAAAUGGGUGGUCAUGGGAGUGCUUGCUAAGGGGUUUGGGGUUUACAUCCAGGGGAAGGACAGAGUUCUGACACUAGAUAGACAGUGGUGACAGUUGUACAACACUGGGAAUGUACCUGAUGGACCUGAACUGUGCACUUUAAAAUGGUUACUACGGUAAAUUCUAUGGUUUUUACCGUCACCUUCUGCCCCCCCCUCCGCCCCCCUCCCGGAUUUUGGGAUCCUGGGUUUCUUUCUGCUUUGAGGCAAUGAGGCCCUGGCAAUUCCUGGGGGCCUCUAAGAAUAGGCCUGCCCACAUACCCCCCCUUUUCCUGCUUCUUCCUCAGGACCCGGAAGCAGAACCCCAGAUGAGGAGUUCAAAGAGGAGCCCAAGGCGGUCACCUGGCCUGCGGCCCUCUCAACAGAGCCUCAGGCAGACCGUCCUGCGGCGGCGGAAGAGCCCCAGGUCCAGGUGCUGGGGCCUGGCCCCGAAGUGAGUGGCACCGGCGGAGGAGGGUCCCCUCCCAGCAGGAGUGACAUCCUGGAGGUCAAAGUGGCCGACGGGCCUCCCAGGUCGGAGGCAGAGAUGGAAUUCAUCUGCACCGACUGCGGGGUGACUUUCCGACAGCUGGCCCGCCUGGAGGCGCACCAGCUGCGGAGUCACCCGGGCGCCCGGUCCUUUCCGUGCGAGCGCUGCGGGAAGAGCUUCGGCCGCAGCUCCAUCCUCAAGCUGCACAUGCGCACGCACACGGACGAGCGGCCACACGCCUGCCACCUGUGCGGCCACCGCUUCCGCCAGAGCUCCCACCUGAACAAGCACCUUCAGACGCACUCCUCCGAGCCCGCCUUCCUGUGUGCCGAGUGCGGCCAGGGCUUCCAGAGGCGCGCCAGCCUCAUGCAGCACCUGCUGGCGCACGCCGAGGGCCAGCAGUCGCCGCGCGCCCCCGAGGCCAAGCCCGAAGCGCGCGAGCUGGCCGUUGUCCUGUGCUCUCACUGCGGCCAGACCUUCCAGCGCCGCUCCAGCCUCAAGCGCCACCUGCGGAUCCACGCCAAGGACAAGGGCCACCAGUGCUCGGAGUGCUCGGGCAGCCUGCGCUCGGGCCCGGAGCGCAGGCCGUACGUGUGCAACGACUGUGGCAAGGCGUUCCGGCGCAGCGAGCACCUGGGGGCCCACCGGCGCGUGCACACGGGCGAGCGGCCCUUCUCGUGCCAGGUGUGCGGCCGCAGCUUCAGCCAGAGCUCCCAGCUGGUGUGCCACCAGCGGGUGCACACGGGCGAGAAGCCCUACAGCUGCCCGCACUGCGGGAAGCGCUUCGUGCGGCGGGCGGGGCUCGCCCGCCACCUCCUGACGCACGGCGGCCCGAGGCCCCACCACUGCACCCAGUGCGGCAAGACCUUCAGCCAGACGCAGGACCUCGCCCGCCACCGGCGCAGCCACACGGGCGAGAAGCCGUGCCGCUGCAGUGAGUGCGGCGAGGGCUUCAGCCAGAGCGCCCACCUGGCGCGCCACCAGCGCAUCCACACCGGGGAGAAGCCCCACGCCUGCGACACCUGUGGCUACCGCUUCCGCAACAGCUCCAACCUGGCCCGCCACCGCCGCAGCCACACCGGCGAGCGGCCCUACGGCUGCCAAACCUGCGGCCGGAGCUUCCGGCGCAACGCCCACCUGCAGCGGCACCUGGCCACCCACGCGGGCGCGGGGACCGAGGCGGCGUCCAGGCCGGCCGAGCCCCCGCAGGAGUGCCGGGAGUGCGGCAAGAGCUUCAGCCGCAGCUGUAAUCUGCUGCGCCACAUGCUGGUGCACACGGGGGCCAGGCCCUUCUCGUGCGCGCAGUGCGGCCGCAGCUUCAGCCGCAACUCGCACCUGCUGCGCCACCUGCGAACCCACGCCCGCGAGACCCUGUACUAGCCUCGCGCAGGUUCCGCCGGGCCCCGCCCCGCACGCGCGCGCGCGCCUCUGCGUCGCCCGUGUCCUGGGCAACCGAGGCCUGCGGUGGGCGUCCCUGGCCUGGCCCCGCCCCGCCCCGGCCUCCCUCUGGCUCCGCCAGACCUGUGUGUUAGUUUUCCCCUACCCCGGAGGCAGGUCUCCCUGGCUUCAGGGUUGUAUUUCAAAAUCCUAAAGUAAAACAGCUUUCCUGAAAAUGACUCUGCUUUAUUUUUUUGUGAGGUCCACCAAAACGCUGUUACCCUCCUACUGUGACAGUGACGCCUUUUUCCCUUCCCUUCCGUUCCCCAGCACCUUCCAUAGCAGGCUAGAGGGGAGCAGGCCCAAGGACUGGCCUCCUCCCCCACCCGCAACACACACACCCCGAAAGGGCCAGGUUGGGGGGGGGGGCGACAGAGGGGUGCCAUCUGUCCCAGUCAGCUGUGAGGAAGGCCAGGGAAUCUCAUCCGGAAUUCUUCCUUCUCUGGAGUCUGCACCCUAACCUGUGCUGUCCAGUACCCUCUAGCUGUAUGCGGCCGUUUAAAUUAAUUAAAAUGGUGGGACGCGUGGGUGGCUCAGUCAUUUGGGCGUUGGACUUCAGCUCAGGUCAUGAUUUACAGGUUGGUGAAUCCAGCCCUGCGUCACGCUCUGCGCUGACAGCCCAAAGCCUGCCUGGGAUUCUCCUCUCUCUGUCCCUCCCCUGAAUUCUGUCUCUCAAAAUAAAUAAAACCUGAAAAAAAAAAUAAUUACUUUAAUAACGGAAUAUAAUUUAAAAUCCCAGAUUCUGGGUCAUUCCAGGAAACAGCAGAUGAAACGAAACCUGCCUGAUGGCCAAGACAGGUUGCGGGCUGGGGACCCCCUAACGACCCAUAAUCCUGCAAACCCGAAGGUGGUUUGGCAGAGUGCCCACCUUCUCCGACCUCUCAGGCAAUCUUGGCAAUCCGGUAGACAGAUUUCGUUUUCUCCCAGUCUAGUGGACAGAUUUUUAAAAUCAUGUGACUUGGGGCGCCUGGGUGGCGCAGUCGGUUAAGCGUCCGACUUCAGCCAGGUCACGAUCUCGCGGUCUGUGAGUUCGAGCCCCGCGUCGGGCUCUGGGCUGAUGGCUCGGAGCCUGGAGCCUGUUUCCGAUUCUGUGUCUCCCUCUCUCUCUGCCCCUCCCCCGUUCAUGCUCUGUCUCUCUCUGUCCCAAAAAUAAAUAAACGUUGAAAAAAAAAAAUUAAAAAAAAAAAAUAAAAUAAAAUCAUGUGACUUGUGGUAAUACUGCAAAAAAGAAAACAGCCCACCCCAGCUGUAGGGCGUGUGCACACACACUUCCUGCUCUAGUCGGUGGCUUGUCACCUACAAGCUUUCGGGUUGUCUUUGUCCCUCCACCAGCCUGACACACGACUGCUCUUUGGCAAAUGCUUGUGGACAUACAGUGAACUUGUCAGCCCGCGGCCAAGGGACUUGGGAAAGAUCUGUCCCCAGAUCUAGAGGAGGUCCGUGUUUUGGGGGGUUGGGAGGAAGAUGAGGUGGGGUACAGAGAGUCACCAGAUGUCCCAGAACAAAUUAGAGCCUUGGAAGACCCCCCGAGGAGAAAUUUUCAAGAAGGAAGCUUUCUUGAUCGACUAAAUGAGUAAGGAAGUUGGGAGAACCCAUAGCAUUUGAAGGCUUUAUUUCUUGAGUACCUACUAUGUACUGGGGAACGUGCCGGGCUAUUGAGGAGAACAAGGCCUGAAAUAGAAGAGGGAGACCACCUCAGAAGAACCAGGGGGAGGGCACCCUCAUCGGAGGGAACAGCAGGUGCAAAGUCCCUGAGAAUACUGUCCCUGAGGGAGAUCUGUAGGAACCUGAUGACACAGACACAGCCUCAGAGGCUGACCUGACACCCAGGUCAGAGUGUAUUUACGAUGGGAAGAUGGGAGGGUGUUAAUCAGGCAGUUACUUCAUUUUGCCAUGACAUUGAUUUGGCCUCGGCACUGGAAAGAUUUGGCUUGAAAGAGGCAAGACCGAGGCGACCAACUAGGUUUGGGAUGACGGUGACCUUGAUGGGGCCGUGGGGUCAUGAAAGCCCCUGAUGGCUUCAACACGGUAGGCAGGUUUUCUCAACUUCUCACCGGAGUCAAGCGCAAAGGCACAAGGAGAAGUAAGAGAGAGUCUGACCACAGGGUCACGUGAAAAUGCGGGUCAGGGGUCUAAAAGAAACUGAAUGUUGACUGGCCAUGGGAGGAGAGGACACGACGUCCAGGGGGAAGCGAGAGCUAGGUCAGGCCCUGGCGGGGGACGGCCCCUUGGAGCUGGGGACUCAGGCCUGAGAUGGGCCUUCCAGUGUAAAAGGCUCUCAGAGGGAUCCCCUGGGAAUGAAACAGGAUGUGGGCCAGCACAGGGCUCCCCAAAGUCCACUCCCUCACCGGGCAGGGGCAAUGAGCAAGCAGGGCCCCUCAGGAUGACCAGGGCCACCAUCAGGGUCUGUCUAGCUUAGCCCUUGCCCACUCCUGGUGGACUCACAGCUGUUCCCCAGGGAGGUGAUUUUUCUAAGAAUUAAGAGUUCAUUCGUAUGAUCCAAAAGGGUCUUUAAGAAACUGGCAGAUGGGGGGGGGGGCACCUGGGUGGCUCAGUCAGCUGGGCAACCGACUUUGGCUCAGGUCAUGCUGUCCCAGUUCGUGGGAUGGAACCCUGAGUCCAGUGUCGGGCUCUGUGCUGAUGGCUCGGAGCCUGGCGCCUGCUGCGCAUUCUGUGUCUCCCUCUCUCUGCCCCUCCCCUGCGCGCGCUCGUGCGCGCUCUCUCUCUCUCUCUCUCUAAAUAAACAUUAAAAAAAGAAAAAAGAAAAAACAAAGAAAACGCCACAGGAGUGAGUGAUAGAAAUGCCCCCAGCUGUGAGGCCUCCCGGCUCCCAGUCACCUCCCCACAUCCCUCUCACCCCUAGGCACACCUCCCUGGUCUGGAGCCUCUCCUUUGCUGGCGUGUUUUCCCGCACCCCACCCUCACCCCACCCCACCUGUCCCCUUUCCUGCUCUGUCCUCAGGUCAGGGCCCCGGAAACCGCCCCCCCCCCAGCUCUAUCUCAGCAGCUGCUGUUUACGGCUAGACACCCCAAUGCAAAAAUCUGUGUGCAGCUGCGGGAAGCAGGAUGUCAGUGGGGGAGGGGGGAGCUUCAAGGAAGUGGCCUCAAAAAAUGGUGAGCUGGGCCGACCCCCUCCCUGCCCUGGCCUUGCUCCUGGCUCCCCUCCCCCCACCCCCUCCCCAGUUUCUGCAUUUGCAGGCCCCCGGGAGGCCUGAGCCAGAGAUCUGAGUCCCGUCCCGCCCUAGGCUGCCCUUCUCUCUGGUCCAGGUAGGGGUGAACCCUCCUCCCCCUCCCUACUCCUCCCUCCCCCGCCUCUGCCCCAACCUCAAAGCCAAGGAGUUUCCAUGGCCUGGUGAAGGAUGAAGACCCAGGUCAGAAGAACAAGCCAAGGGGCAAAUGUGCCUCAGGCCUGAGCUCCCUGCAACGCGCAGGCCAGGAAACUUCCAGCCCUUUCCACAGGCCAGGUGUCACCCGUGUCCAUGUACAGAUUAUAGAGGUCAGGUGGAACCCCCCCCCCUCCCUGGGGUCCUGCCCCCUCCCCAGCCACUGGGGGCUCCUGCCUCCCGUCCAACAGGCACUCAGUUUAAUUCAACCAACUUUUUUUUUUUUUUUUUAACGUUUAUUUAUUUUUUGAGAGACAGAGACAGAGCAGGAGCUGGGGAGGGGACAGAGAGAGGCGGGGAGUCACAGAUUCCGAAGCAGGCUCCAGGCUCCGAGCUGUCAGCACAGAGCCGGACGCGGGGCUCGGGGCUCGGGGCUCAUGCCCAUGAACCGUGAGAUCCUGACCUGAGCGGAAGGCGGACGCUCAACCGACUGAGCCCCCGGGGGGCCCGCAGCCAACUCUUACUAGGACGCCACAGCCAGAGCGACGGGCCGGACCCCGACAAGGAAAGCGGCCGGGGAGGGCUGGGCUAGGCCUGGACGGCGCUCCUGAACACCUGAGCCACUGAGGUGCAGAAACUGUUAAAGGCGCUGCAGAUGGCCUCCACCGCGUUGCAGAAGGCCUGAAAGCCGGCGGCCACCNGCCACCUUCUCCCUCAGCCACGCCAGUGCGGCCUGCCACUUGAGCUGCAGUUGGUAGAGCAGCCUUCGGAACGACCUCAGGGCUCGGUCACAAAAGCUCUCCUCCGUCUUCCGGACCCCGGGGUGCUCCUUCUCUUCCAGCUCGAGGACGGAGGACCUCAAGACUCUGGAACGUAGCUCCUGCCGCACUUCGGGAAGUAACGGACUGGACUCCUGCGAGGGUGGGGGUGCCGUUCGGGUCGGGGUCCCACCUGGAGGACGCGGCCCAGGUCCUGGCCCCGGCGGAGGCCUCCCCACCCGUGUGAGAGUCUGGGAGCCAGAAGCCCGGCUCUCCCGCCGACAGCUCCACACUCGAGAAGACUCCAUCCAGGGGCUCGGCCCCUCCGUGCCUCCCCACCCGCAGGGAGCAGCGUGGUGCUCGAGGACGGGCGUCUGAGCCCGGCACCGGCCCCGCGCGGCCCCUCAUACGCGGAGGCACCCCUCCACCCUCAGCUUGGCCAGGGGGCGGGGGGCACUGUGCACACACGUGACCAAGUCAAGACAGAACAGGGGGGGAAGGAAAAGCAAGCAGGGCUGCGAUGGGCGUCUCACACUCACCUCGUCGUUGUUCUGAUGAUGGUGAAGGUCCACGGCUUCCAGCAUGAUCUCGUUGAAGCCAUCCUGGGGAGAGGGGACGGUUCGGAGCUCCAGAUCUGCUCCUGUCUGUGGCCUCCAUGCGUCCAGGGGAGUGUCAAGGGAGCCAGGAGCCCGGACCCGAUAAGGAUAACCUGGCUGUAGCCCUGGGGACCGAGCUUUGGUGGGGGCGGGGGGGGCGGGGGGGGGGGGGGGGAUGUCACUUGGCUUAAAAUCCUCCCAGCCUCUCCCGCCCGCAGUCUUCUCCCCCAAGUCCCCACCUGUUCUCUGCUCCCCAGGCCCCCAUCACUGGGUCCAGCCCAGGGGCCUGGGGACCAGGUAUCCGGCAUCCCUGCUCUGUCGUCAAUAUGCGCAGUGACUUGAUCACCUUCCUAAGCCUCCCUGGGCCUCUGCAUUUCUCCCCUGUGCCCUCACCUGCACACGGGUGUGAACUAGGACAGUGUGCCAGGAGGUGCCCAGGUGUAAGGAGUGAGCAGACCCGAGGUAGCAUCUCCAUCACCCUCACCGUCAUCGUGGUCAUUGUGAAACCACCCACCCGAUCCCAACUGUAGAGCGCGUGGGAGUGGGGGGCGCGGCGACCCACCGGUGCUCCUCGGGAUUGGUGUUGGGUCCUGUCACAGAAGAUGUCCACCAGCUGGUGCUGCGCAGAGGGGAGAGGCGGAAGUGAGAGAGAGGCCUCGUCGUUCCCCCUCAGGGGCCCCUGGCUGGCCCAGAACGUUCUCAGCUCCACACAGCAGGACCCAGGUCCCCCUUUCUCCCCCGGACACACACUGGGAAGAGCUUCUUACCAUUUGGUGCCUCAUAAACUCAAUAGGAUUUCUGCCCACCUGUGGGGGUGACAGUGAUACUCAGACACGUGUGACCUUGCCGCCCCCCACACUUGCUGUACACACACACACACACACACGCGCGCACGCGCGCGCGCGCGCGCGCACACCCUGACCACACGCAUGGGUGAGCAUUGCCCCAGAGUGCUCCGGAUCCACUGUGUUACCAAAUACCUGUCCCUCUCCGUCCCGGGCCGACGGGCUGGCGGGGGCGGUGCUCUCGAAGGCGGUCACAGGAACGCAGCUCUUGACAGCUGGCUCUGCAGACCCACCUCCCCUGCCCGGACCCUCGGCUUGCCCCACAGAAGCGCAGGGCAGCCCGGACACGGCAUCACGGGUCUCCACCAAACCUGGUGCCGGCUCCCUGGUCACUGGGCAGUCCCCGCCACACGUGGAACGUCCACGGCUCUGGGCAAAUAUCUGCUGUGAGGCACCUGUCUCCACGUUUCUUGAGUCCCUGAUGGCACCAGCCCGUCACCCCAAUCGGGGGCGCUGGCCGCAGGGAACAAUUUGCUCUCCAACUCGGGCUCCCAAACUGGGCGUGGCCACCGAGCCUGGGGUCAUUCCAGAGUCCACUGUGACAAAUCCCGCAGGGCCCGGCAGCCUGUGGCCAACCUCACAACGGGGGUGGGGGAGGUGACCGGACACCCCAAAAGGGAGGCACAGACACCAAGGUCCUGGGCGGCAGGCCCAGGCAGGGAGGAAUUUUUAAACUUGGCAGGAAAGCACGACCUCCCCGCCCCCAGGUUUCCGGGGUAUCGGGACCGGGUCUACCCGGGAUCGGCGCCUCUGGCCCUAUAGACCCUCCAUGCCCCAGCUGCGCCACCAACGCAUCGGGUCCAGCUCCUGGAGCCACCCCCUUGCCCUCAUACACAGCGUUCCUCGGUAUCCUUAGCAGACACACACGCAGACCCUCUCCCCGUAGUUUGCCCCCAGACCGGAAAUCUGGCCCCACAAUCGGGACCCACUCUAUAAAGUGAAUGACUCACAGCAAAAUGAAACGGUGAGGCUGUCUGUCAAUAAUUAUUCAGAAUUUCAGGCAGUGAGAGAGCAUUCAACAAAGUAAGCCGGGGGUGGUUAUGAGCCUGGGGCCCUGUGGAGUGCACGGGUCACAUGCCUCUGACCCCCUGCUUCCCCAGUGGACUCCCCCAUUGGCCUAGGAGAAUGGGACAGAGCCAGGUGCACGUGGAGAGAUCAGGGGGUCUGGGGGCCAGCGCGAGCGGGAGAGGGGGACGCACAGCGGGGAAGUGGAAUCUGGGCUCCCCCCCCCACCCCUCCAAUUGCUCUCACUCACCUUGGAGGACCACAUGGUGGCUCAGGGCUCUGGGGGCUGUGGCCUGGCGGGGAGGAACAGGUGUGAGUUAGAGGGUUCAGGGAAGCGGCCUCCCCGCCAGCCCACCCCCCACUGGAAGUCGCUUUGGCUGCAGCCUCCCCCCCAGGCUGCCAGGUCACCUCACAGAUUCUCCCGGCCUAUGCUUCUGCUCCAGAGAGAGCCUCUGAUUUAAGAGGGAGGAGGGAGGAGGGAGGAGGGAGAGGCUGGGGGUGGGUGGAGCCUGGCUUGGAGGCAGGAUGUGAGGCUGUGUGUGUGUGUGUGUGUGUGUGUGUGUGUACGCACGUGUGUGGCACACGGAGACAGAAGCAAGGACAGGGAGACCGCCUGGGCGGGUGUGGGCAGGGCCUCUGGCUGUGCCCCCUCCACUCUCUGAGCUGGGGUGGGGAACUUCAGAGCCCAGGAACCAGCCUCUUUCUCAACCUUACCGGCCCGAGACAGGGAAAGACAGAGGAAAAGUCCAGACUGGUGAAAGCAGAUCGGGGCACUCCCAGGUUCUGGAAAAUGAACUCAUCCUGUUGAAGGUCAAGUAAGCUACUGGGGAAUGCUGACUAGGUCGCUUGGAACGGAGCAUACCCCGGCUCCAAAGUCCAGAGAAUGUUCCAAGCACCUCCAGGCCCAAGGCAGAGCAGGGCUGGCAAGAUCCCUAAGGUGGGCCCACCGGGAGGGGUGGGGAGGGGAGCUGAGCAGACUGCCCCAUGGGCCCCUGCAGGGGAGGCUGGAGGUGAUGGCUGUCUGCCACGGGACAGGGUGAAGCCCUCAGGAGGAGCUGAGGGCCUAGGGUCAGCAGGCCAGACUAUCCUGAGCCCUCCCGGGGCCGAGGGGCACCAUGUCCCGGCCGGCCCUGUGCAGUUCUGGGGUCACCCCCAGUUCGGCUCGCCCUACUCUGGCCCAGAGUCCCCCCGCUUCACCACAGCCGUGUCUACCCUCCACACUGGGGCUGCCCGGUGCCUGGGGCCGCGAAACCGAUCGAGGCCUCGGCAGGGUGGUCAGGGUGGCGGCUUCGAGGGCCGUGGGGGAAGGGUCUGUUCCAGCCUCUCUCCCAGGCCUGUGGAUGGCCUCUUCGUGCUCAUGUCAUUCUCCUGGCAUGCGCGUCUGUCCGCUAACUUCCCAUUUUUAUAGGGACACCAGUCUCACCGGAUUAGGGCCCAUCCAAUGACCUCAUUACCUUGAUUCCCUCUACAAAGAUCCUAUCUCCAAAUAAGGUCACCGUCUGAGGUCCUGGGGAUUAGGACUUGAACACGAGGACCUGGGCUCCCGAGGGGCCCCCGGAAGGACAGAACUGUAAAGCAGAUUUCCUUGGCGCAAGCCUCACUUGCAUUGACUAGACCCCAGCAGGCGUCUCCUGGCCCCUUAGGAGCCCAUCAACGGUCUGAAACGCCCCGUGCACACCUCGGAGUCCAGAUCCUUCCCUGAGCCGUCUUUAAAUUCUAGGCGGGGACAGAAAAGGUGGCGGCUGCAGGUAACGGUCCUGGGCUUCUUUCUCGGGAAGCACGGCCCCCUGACCCCACGAGACGCUUGGCCCCUCCGUGACGGUCUCGCAGAUCACCGUCAGCAAGCAUUUUGCGUCUCGGCAGGCUGCACCGUUUUCUAUACAGCUUUGGCGAGAAACAACCCACACGCAACUCCCCCACUGAAGCGUAUAAUUCAACGCACAGAACCGUGCACCCGUCACAGCCAAUUUCAGAACAUUUUCGUCGCCUCAGAAAGGCGAGCCAGCGCCCCGCCCAGAUCCCAAAGCCCCGCCCAGACAGCCACGCAUCUGCUCUCUGUCUCUGGAGUUCCCUGGUCUGGAUGUUUCUCAUACACGGAAUCACAUAGAGACGGUCACGCUGCGUGACCUUUAGUGGCCGCCUUUUGCACUUAGCACGGAUGUCUGGUUUUAGGUCUCUUGGGUUCACAGCUAGGAGGGGAAUUGUUGGCUCCUAUGGUAACUGACUAGGUUUUCCACUUUUUGAGGAACCGCCAGACGAGUUUCCAAAGUUACUGCGCCCUUUUCUGUCCCCAGAAGCAGCGCGUGAUGGUCCGUUUCUCCACAUCCUCGCCCACGCCGACUAUGAUGUUUUUGAUUCUAGCCGCCCUGGCGGGUGUGAAACAGUAUCCCUGUGUGGUUUUGAUUUUCAUUCCCCUCAUGACCAGCGACGUCGAGCAUCUUUCCGUGGGCUUGUCGGCCACUUGGAGGGAUGUGCAUUCUGACCCUUUGCCCGUUUUUAAAUUGGGUCAUUUACCUUCUGCUUAUUAAGCUGUCAGAGUAUUUUAUAUAUUCUGGAUACGAGCCUCUCAUCAGAUAUGUCCUUUGCAAAUACUUUCUCCCGUUUUGUGGGUGGUCUUUUCAUUUUUUUAAUGGUGUCCUUUGAAGCACAAAUAUUUUACAGUUUGAUUAUGGGACCAUUUUUUUUUAUUUUUUUUAUUUUUUUUUAAAUUUUUUUUUCAACGUUUUUUAUUUAUUUUUGGGACAGAGAGAGACAGAGCAUGAACGGGGGAGGGGCCGAGAGAGAGAGGGAGACACAGAAUCGGAAGCAGGCUCCAGGCUCUGAGCCAUCAGCCCAGAGCCUGACGCGGGGCUCGAACCCACGGACCGCGAGAUCGUGACCUGGCUGAAGUCGGACGCUUAACCGACUGCGCCACCCAGGCGCCCCGAUUAUGGGACCAUUUUAACGAUAAAAGUGAUCAAUUUGACCUGGCAUUUUUCUGUAGUAUACUUGAGAAUAUGUGUGUGUGUGUAUAUAUAUAUAUAUAUAUAUAUAUAUAUAUAUAUAUAUAUUUCUUUCCCCCUAAGAUUUACUUCUAAGUAAUAUCUACACUCAUUGUGGGGCUGGAACUCACAACCCUGACAUCAGGACCCUCAGGCUCCACCAACGGAACCAGCCGGGUGCCGCAGACAAAGUGUUUUAUUUUUUUUUUAAUUUUUUUUUCAACGUUUAUUUAUUUUUGGGACAGAGAGAGACAGAGCAUGAACGGGGGAGGGGCAGAGAGAGAGGGAGACACAGAAUCGGAAACAGGCUCCAGGCUCUGAGCCAUCAGCCCAGAGCCUGAUGUGGGGCUCGAACUCACGGACCGCGAGAUCGUGACCUGGCUGAAGUCGGACGCUUAACCGACUGCGCCACCCAGGCGCCCCAAAGUGUUUUGUUUUAAAGUAGGCUCCGUGACCAAGGUGGGGCUCAAACCCAAACCCACAACCCUGAGAUCAAGAGCCACAUGCUGUUCUGACUGAGCCAGCCAGGCACCCUUAAUAUAUAUUUAAAGGCUGGAGAAGAAGUCUCCGUGUAGCACUAAAAGAAGCCCCAGAUUUCACAUUGGAUGGCCCUCCUCUGAGGUCCCCUAGCCGACUUUUGAGUUUCUCUCUGUUCCCUCCUCCCACUCAUUCUCUUUCCGUCUGUCACCCCACUGCCUGUCAACUCUGAAUCCCAAGUUCUUCUACAGGACAGAGCAAUUCAGGUCUGUCAAGCUCCUGCCACCAAACUCACCCCGGAUCCAACUGUGCUCGGGAGAAAUGAAGGGCUUUCUCUCCGGUCACUUUCAUUGUCCUCCUGUGUGGGGCUCAUAAGCUUUUAAAAUAUAAGUUUCCUCCUCCGUAUAUUUUGAAAGGAUCCUGACAGAGGCCCGGGUUUCGGGUUUUCUGGUGGCUUGGAAUGCUCAGGUCACGGGUUGGCUGAAGACACCUGGCUGUUGCCCUCCGACUGGUCAGCUUGUCCUGACCGAGGGCCCUGCACGCUGGGACAGCAGCCCGCAGCCUCAGCCCCAGGCAGCACUGUGGGCGGAUGGCAACCCAGGAAGCGGCCCCUAAGCGGCUCCACCCAAAGGGGAUAGAUCCUACUGGAGCAAGGCCAUCAACCUGAUUCUGCAGAGAAUGUGCUCAGGUUGGUCCCUGGGAGGGAGAACACUUCAGAGACACAGAAAAACCACAAGACAGAGAUGACAGCUGUUGUCCCGGCCCCCUCGCCCAUCAGGGCUGCUCCCCCAAGCUCACUCGAGUGCAGACUCCUGGCCCCAGCCCCCAAGUGAUUCAGGGUGAGGGCAUGGGAUCCGCAUUUUUAAGUUCCCUAGGUGAUUCUGAUCUGGAAGAUUCCAGAAGUGCAGUUCCAGAGGCACUGAUGUAGGGCCUGAAUUCGGGGAGGAGUGGGAGGUGAAUGAGGUGGCCCUCCCACUCAUCACCCAGGGGUGCUGAGGAAGCAGUGACCCCUGGAUGGAGAGGGAACUCAGUCCACCGUCUUCACAGCCCUGAGCCGCGGAAAACCCAAGAGUUCUCCCUGAGGGAAGCGGUACACACUCCAGUGUGGAGGGACUGAGCGGAUUUUUAGGGAUUGGAGGGUGUUCUGUUGAACCGGGACUGUUCUGGGUCCAAGAUGGUGACCAGAAAGGAGGUCCACAGGGGCCUCGGUUGUGGAGGGUCGUCUGGGCGGCCACUGAUGUCACCCAGGAUAUGGGACACUCGUGCUCAGGGGUAACUUGAGGGCUGGAUCUGGGGUCCCCAUCCACGUGGCAUUGCCUGGGACGUUGCAGAAGCAGGACAGUGGGACUCUUCUGGGAAAUUCGGAGCAGCAGGUGGAGAGAGGGGCUGGGGUUCAGUUGCGCCAAUGAGUCCAGUCCUCUAAAGCCCCAAACAGCCAGGAGCCGCUAUGAGGAACCGCUGUUGCCAGGUGGGGCCAGGGCUAUAGUCACAGGCUGCUGAGAAGCACCAGCUCUUCCGGGAAAAAGAGCUUCCGGUAGCGGCAGCGCGCGGCGCAGCCAGGGCAACGGUGGGGGUGGGGGUGGGGGUGGGGGUGGGGCUGGGGGGGUGAGGGGGGGGUGCUGGAACGGCGAGGGUGAGCACAUGGCCCGUCCAGUCUAAGGGCUAGCCAUUUGUCCGCGCCCCCAGGGCGAAGCUCCACCCGCAUGAGCCCCGCCCCGGGACCGGCCCCCUCAGCUGGAGGCGACGCCCCCCACCAGCGGGGGUAGAAGGGACAGCAGGAAGGACAGCGACGGCCGCCCUGAGGCCUCAUUGAUCUCGCACUGACAGUCGCAGGCUCCGGGCUCCCGGGUGGCUUUGGGGGGCCUGGGGGCGCGUGGGUGGGCGCUGGGGGCCGGGCAGUCCAGCCACUUGGGGCCCAUGGGUUGGGGGGAGUCGGACUCCGCCUUGACGCUGCCCUUGGGAAAGCGCCAGUAGUGGGCGCCCUUGAAGAAGUAGGUGUCACCUGCGGGGCAGGGAGGAGACACUUCGGGGGCCGGUCCAGGCUGCCCCUCCCGCCGCGCCGCGUCCCUCCUGAGGGCUCCCCGAAACCCCCAGGAGGGCCCCUCUCCCCGUCCCCGGGGGCCCCCAGCCCCUCCCCGCGCCCUCUCCCACCUGCGUUGCUGACGGUGACAUCGUCGGGGGCGGGAGGCGCCCCUUCCCAAAGACUCAGGUCGCGGGGGUAGCCGGGGUCCGGGCGCGCGGCCGCCUCGUCGUACCGCCAGUAGCGCCCGCCCCGGAUCAGGUAGGUCUUCCCGUUGAGCGGCCACGAGAACACGGCGUCCACCCGCUCUCCGGCCGGCAGCCCCAGCUCCGUGAGCGGCCGCG
This 16860-nucleotide long non-coding RNA is filed under the name Lynx pardinus (Iberian lynx). The record is from RNAcentral. Lineage: Eukaryota; Metazoa; Chordata; Mammalia; Carnivora; Felidae.